CCUACGGGUGGCAGCAGUGGGGAAUAUUGCACAAUGGGCGAAAGCCUGAUGCAGCGACGCCGCGUGUGGGAAGAAGUCUUUCGGGAUGUAAAGUCCUAUAAGCAAGGAAGAUAAUGACGGUACCUGACAAAGAAGCCCCGGCUAACUACGUGCCAGCAGCCGCGGUAAUACGUAGGGAGCAAGCGUUAUCCGGAUUUACUGGGUGUAAAGGGAGCGUAGACGGCGAUGCAAGUCUGAAGUGAAAUACCCGGGCUCAACCUGGGAACUGCUUUGGAAACUGUGUUGCUAGAGUGCUGGAGAGGUAAGCGGAAUUCCUUGUGUAGCGGUGCAAUGCGUAGUAAACAGUAUCCAUACACGACGCUAUGCCGAUCUUGCCUACCGCAAAGGAGGCAGACUCGACAAAGCGUGGUGCGCCCUGCGCUUCGGAGUAGGCUGUAGCU
This 440-nucleotide ribosomal RNA is filed under the name Streptococcus agalactiae. RNAcentral describes it as "bacterial SSU rRNA". It matches the Rfam family "Bacterial small subunit ribosomal RNA", at positions 338 to 817 of the family's 1533-position model. Lineage: Bacteria; Bacillati; Bacillota; Bacilli; Lactobacillales; Streptococcaceae. The record is from RNAcentral.